CCUACGGGAGGCAGCAGUAGGGAAUCUUCCACAAUGGACGCAAGUCUGAUGGAGCAACGCCGCGUGAGUGAAGAAGGUUUUCGGAUCGUAAAGCUCUGUUGUUGGUGAAGAAGGAUAGAGGUAGUAACUGGCCUUUAUUUGACGGUAAUCAACCAGAA
This 158-nucleotide ribosomal RNA is filed under the name uncultured Lactobacillus sp. Its description in RNAcentral is "partial 16S ribosomal RNA". It matches the Rfam family "Bacterial small subunit ribosomal RNA", at positions 338 to 488 of the family's 1533-position model. The record is from RNAcentral. Lineage: Bacteria; Bacillati; Bacillota; Bacilli; Lactobacillales; Lactobacillaceae.